GCGCACGCUGGCGGCAGGCUUAACACCUGCAAGUCGAGCGGGCACUUCGGUGUCAGCGGCAGACGGGUGAGUAACACGUGGGAACGUACCCUUUGGUUCGGAAUAACGCUGGGAAACUAGCGCUAAUACCGGAUACGCCCUUUUGGGGAAAGGCUUGCUGCCGAAGGAUCGGCCCGCGUCUGAUUAGCUAGUUGGUGGGGUAAUGGCCUACCAAGGCGACGAUCAGUAGCUGGUCUGAGAGGAUGAUCAGCCACACUGGGACUGAGACACGGCCCAGACUCCUACGGGAGGCAGCAGUGGGGAAUAUUGGACAAUGGGCGCAAGCCUGAUCCAGCCAUGCCGCGUGAGUGAUGAAGGCCUUAGGGUUGUAAAGCUCUUUUGUCCGGGACGAUAAUGACGGUACCGGAAGAAUAAGCCCCGGCUAACUUCGUG
This 432-nucleotide ribosomal RNA is filed under the name uncultured bacterium. RNAcentral's name for it is "partial 16S ribosomal RNA". It matches the Rfam family "Bacterial small subunit ribosomal RNA", at positions 29 to 507 of the family's 1533-position model. The record is from RNAcentral.